Molecule: ribosomal RNA, 406 nt
Filed under: uncultured bacterium
Lineage: Bacteria
Description: partial 16S ribosomal RNA
Rfam family: Bacterial small subunit ribosomal RNA
Source: RNAcentral
AUUGAACGCUGGCGGCAGGCCUAACACAUGCAAGUCGAGCGAGCGGCGGACGGGUGAGUAAUGUCUGGGAAACUGCCUGAUGGAGGGGGAUAACUACUGGAAACGGUAGCUAAUACCGCAUACCAUCCGAUGUGCCCAGAUGGGAUUAGCUAGUAGGUGGGGUAACGGCUCAACUAGGCGACGAUCCCUAGCUGGUCUGAGAGGAUGACCAGCCACACUGUGACUGAGACCUGGCCCAGACGCCUACGGGAGGCAGCAGUAGGGAAUAUGGGACAAGGGGCGCAAGCCUGAGAGAGAUAUGCGGCGUGAGUGAAGAAGGCCUGCGGAUUGUAAAGCACUUUCGGUGGGGAGGCGUUACCCGCAAAGGAAGCACCGGCUAACGCCGUGCCAGCAGCCGCGGUAAUAC